This 225-nucleotide ribosomal RNA is filed under the name uncultured bacterium. Its description in RNAcentral is "partial 16S ribosomal RNA". It matches the Rfam family "Bacterial small subunit ribosomal RNA", at positions 28 to 224 of the family's 1533-position model. The record is from RNAcentral.
GACGAACGCUGGCGGCGUGCCUAAUACAUGCAAGUCGAACGAACUCUGGUAUUGAUUGGUGCUUGCAUCAUGAUUUACAUUUGAGUGAGUGGCGAACUGGUGAGUAACACGUGGGAAACCUGCCCAGAAGCGGGGGAGUAACACCUGGAAACAGAUGCUAAUACCGCAUAACAACUUGGACCGCAUGGUCCGAGUUUGAAAGAUGGCUUCGGCUAUCACUUUUGG